UAAAAGAUAUAACAUUUAAUUAUAAUAUCAUUCAACUACCACAAAACCAAACCUAUCAGGUACAUGCCAAAUAUAAAUAAAGUUGGAAACAAACGAACAUUGUUGAGACCGGGAUUGUGGAUUGGAUGCUGAGGUCGAUGUUUAGAGAAUCUCAACUUCGUCUAACCUGCACAGAGGGGGACCAAACUGUACGUUGAGUAAGAUACUCAGUGGUAUUUCUAUAAUUUAAGUAUCUAAAUUAGCAUUAACAAUUCUACAGGAAGUAUAAAUGUAUGCCUAUAUACUCAUAUGUAUCUUAUUCUUAUAACUUGGUGUUACCAAGCUUUACAUUUUCAAUAUAAACAUUUCAUCAAACUUAUCAUAAUAACAUUUUCGAUCAUAUCGUUAUCAAAGUAUGCCCUUAUAGACCCUAUUUUUCCAAUUCACCCUUUUAAUAUCACCUAAUUCCUUUGUUUCAAUUCAUAUAGAAUCAUUUAUAGGUUUAGUACAAGUUUAUAGAAGCUCAAAUACUAUAACUUAUUGGAUAUUGUAUUUCAUACAAUAUCAUGUGCAAUUGUAAUUAAUUCAUCAAGAUCACUAGCAUCUUAGCAUAACAUACCAAGUCUAAAACCAUUUAUAAUUUAUGCCUAAGUAACCAUAUUCAACCACCAAUAUAUAAUCAUUUCAUUUCUAAUUUAAACUCAUACCAUUUGUGACAUAUAUAUUCACUGUAGCACCCCUCACCUAGUCUAGUUGCCAAACCCGAGCUAUAGGAUGUUACAACUAAUAAUAGAACAAUAAUAAGCAAAUUUGAAACCAAAAGUUUAAUAAAACAUUUAAUAGCAACAUACAUUCACACAAAUCAUGCUUUGAAAAAAAAUUGGGUUGUAAACUGAGCUUAUAAAAGCAUUAGAAUCGACCUGAAAUCAGGGAUCACACGGCCGUGUAUCCAAACUGUGUAACUCACUAAGGUCGUGUAGGUCAAAUUGCAAAUAUUCAACAAAAGUCACAUGACUGUGUGGUUGGGCCGUGCUACAAAUUGAAGUCGUGUGCUUCUAUUAUUACCUAUUAUCCAAUAGACUAAUGGUCAUGUCAUCAACCUAUGUGUGACACACAGUAGUGUGGUGCAAAAUAUACCAUUAAUGCCUAUAUAAUACCAAACUUAAUCAAUAUUCUGCUUAUUGACCAAUUGCACAAUCUUACUUACAUUAAACCUUACCAAAUCAAGAACCAAAACAUCUAUUUAAACAACUAUAAGAUCAUUCAAAUCAUUCUAAAUGAAAUUGACAUAUUUCUAAAUCAAAAAACCUAUGUACUCAUCUAAUAAGCAAAUAUAGUUCAUCAUUCAAAUAAACAUGCCAAACUCAACCAAUUUACAAUCAAAAUAUACAAUUCAUGCUUCAACCUUUAAUAAACACAAUGCCAACAUAACCACUUCUAUGCACCAUACUUAUAUCAUUCAAAUUCAACAUUAAAGUAAAAUGUCCAUUUUGUACCAAGCAUUUCACCUAUUUGAACAUCUUAUGUCACAUUCAAACAUACUAUUAAUUCACAUUAUUCCAUCACAUAUUCAUAUCAAACAACCACAUCAAUACCAACACUUAAGCUUGAUCAUCCACAUUCAAAAGUAGCUAUUAAAAAACUCCAAGUUUAACUUACCAAAUUUGCUAAUAUGCAUACACAAUUAUUGUAAUACCCCAAAAUAGGGCCUAGGAGUUUUAGUGAUAUUUUAGCAAUUUUAGCCUUAGAGUGUUCAGAAUUUUGUGACAUGGUAGAUCAGUAAUUUUUUUACUAUGGUUUUUAGAAAAUUAAAUCAAUUUUUGAAAAUCAGUUUUAAAGACCUUCAAUUUUGAAAAUUGGAUUUAUUUGUAAAAAAUUCAAAAUUGUAAGUUUUUAAGAGGCAAUUAAACUAAAUUUUAAAAAUUACCCUAAUAAACCUCCACCUACAAUUUUAUUCACAUAAAAGCUUCCCCUUUGUUUUGUGAUUGCCGUCCCUUUGCUCUCCCAACUCUCCCAAAUGAUUUUAAAUUCCAACUCCUAAUCCAUUUUUAUUUCUAUCAUCCUUCAAGCUAUAAAACUCCAUUGAAAUCAAGAAAAAGAAAACCAAAAACACCAUAGUUUCCUGCAUUGUCAAGCUUUCAGGUUUUUCGGGUUUUUGAACAAACGCUUGGUUUUUCGUCAUCUAAGGUAAUGGUUCAACCUCUAAUUAGUUUUAAAUGUUAUUUAGUCUUUAAAACCAAGUUUUUAGCCAUUAAAUUGCAUUUGAAUAAAAGCCAAAAAUUGAUCGUUUGUAACAGCCCGUUUUUUAGUGGUGACAAAACAGUGAUUUUGGGAUCACAAAUUUCUAUCGUGUUAGCCCGUAAAUAUUAUUUAUAGAAUAUUUAUGGAUUCAUUAGAGUCUUAUUAAUUUUGGUUAAGAAAUUUUAACGUUUAGAUAGCUAAUUAAAGAGAAAUGACAAAAUUGAAAAAGGUGCAAAAGUUAAUAAUUAUUGUAUUUAGAUGAUCAAAUAGCUUAAUUACAAAAUGAGGAAGGACCUAUGUAGCAAUUAGCCCUAGUUAAUAUUGUUGGACGGAAAUAGGAAUGGAAAUAAUAAAAUAAUAUAUGUUUAAUGACAAAUUUGUAAAUAAAUCAAAAUUAAAUAAAACAAAUUAAAGGAAAUAGACAUUUCUUCUUCAUUUUUUCUUCAUCUUUUGCCGAACCACCAUGAAAGCAUAGGUUAUAGUUUUGGCUAGUUCAUUUCCUUGCAUGAGUAAGUUUUUUAGCCCCAUUUUUAAUGAAUUUUAUGUUUUUUAGACCGUUGUAACUAGGUCCAACUAGCCCAUACCUUCGUUUUUGAAUAUAUUACAAAUUUUAGAAGUUUCCAUUAAUGAAUCUUGGUUUUUUUUUAUGAUAAUUAUGUGUUUGAAGCUUUGAUUGUGAUUUUUGGUUGUUUUGUAAAGUGACUUUGGUUGGUUUUUAAUUAAAGGAUUAAAUUGUUAAAAUGUUAAAAUCACAUAGUUUAUUGAUGAAUAAAAGGUGUUUUAUGGAUUUUUUUUUUUGGAGGCCUUGAUCAUUCGACUGGUAUGCUGAGUCUUUAGAAAUGGUUAAUUUGAUGAUUUUCGGGUUAAGGGACUAAAUUGCAUAAAUUGUAAAAGUUUAGGGCAAUUGUGUAAUUUUGAAAAAUAAAAGGGUAUAAAAUGUACAAUCAAUUUGAAUAUUUUUGUAAGCUAAUAACUGGGAAAUUUUACAUUUUAGAUUAAGACCCUGUUGAUUUACGUGAAAAAGGAAAAAUUACAGAAUAGCCCCUAAACUUCUGCAACUAUUACAAUUCAAUCCAAGUCAGUUCGUUCGAUUUUUAAUUUAAUAUCUAUAUGAAUUGUAUGAUGAUAUGAUAUGAAAUAGUGGAUAUAAAUUAUUCUAUUGAUGAUGUAAACUGUUUGGAAAAUGUUGCCGAAUAUUGAUACUUGGGAUAGAUGAAUGCGAGAUAGAGUACAACUUAAUGAUGGUGUGUUAUGCGAGGUUGGAGUGAAGAUUGAUGUGAUGUGCUUCAUACAUUUUUCCUGAGUAUACCAAGGUUCAGCAUUUGUUGCGAACUCUAGUGUUAUACUAUCCUGAUUUGGCAUGUUUUGGGGGCGAAUGUAUGGCAUACGGGCUAGGCACUUAGUACCGAGGCAUGUUAUCUGUUGGAUUAUCUCUUAUGAGUGUUCGGCAUGUUUUGGUUGGAUUACUUGUGUACUCGUAUCUGUAAGUCGUUCCUUAGGUCGUAAAUCGUUGUAUUAUAACUUGUUUAAUGACUCUGAAUGGCCUGACAUGUAUUUGAAAUCUUGAAUUGACUCCGUUGUGGACAUAUAUGUUUUUCCAAAAAUUAUUAAUUGAGCUUUGAAUUGAAUUAUGCAACUCACCGGUUUGACAUUGUGGAUAACAAGAAACAUUUGUUGUUGAAUUAUUUUUUAUUGAAUUGUUAUAUUUACUUUAGUAAGACUUAUUGUUUCUAUACGUCGAACUUACUAAGCUUCAAUAAGCUUACUUGUGUUAAUUUAUGUUUCUUGUAAAUACUUUUGAAGGUUGGACGACCGGAUCGGCACUCGAGUCACACUAUCCAUCCAUUUUCGGUAGUUUUUGAACGUUUGUUUUGGAUUAUAUGGCAUGUAAUAGCCUUGUUUUGUUAUUACUUUUCCUUUAUUAUGUAAAUAUAUAAAGAGUGAGCCUUAGUGCAAGUUGAUAACAUGAGCAUCACUACAAUGAUCUUGAUGUUUAUUUGGUAAAUGCCUAGCUAAUGACUUGUUAUGAAUUAUGAAGGAUGGAAGAUGUUUUUGAUAUAAACUUGUAGUAUAUGUAUGACUAAAAGGUCAUUUUGAUUUGUUGUGAAUUGUGGUGCCUAUAAUAGGCAUAUUGGUUAGAAGUUUAAGUUGUGUGAAUUGACAUGUUUGAGUGAUAACUUAUGUAGUUGUAUAAGUGUGUAUACUUGUGGUACCAUUCAAGGCACAUUGGUUAGGCAGUUAAGAUGAUUGAAUUAGCAUGAUUUGAGCUUGUUUAAUGAAUAGGUAUAAAGGCUAGUACAUGGAUUACUUAGUGUCCAAGAAAUCUUGAAAUGGUAAACUUGAUCUUUAAGGUUCAUUUAGGUGCACACGGUCUGGGACACGAGCUGCCACAUGGCCGUGUACCAUACACGGCCUACGACAUGGCCGUGUGUAUUAAGUUUGCUUGUUUUAUGGCCUAGCACAUGGUUGUGUGUCACAAGUCAGAGAGUUACAUGGUCUGGCACAUGACCUGCGACACGGCCGUGUGGCCUAACUCAGUGUGUUACAUGUUCGAAACUUACAGGGCCUGGGGAACUCACACGGCCGUGUGUCCCUUGUUUUUGAAAUUUCUCAUAUUUUUUUGAAAUUUUCUUAUUUAUUUCAAAUUAGUCCCUAAGGGUUUUAAGAUUAAUUAUUUAGUCCCUAAAGCUCGAUUUAAGUCGCGUAGAUGUAUGAUAUUAUUUUAAUUCAAUUAUUUUAUGGUAUUUGAGAAAUUAUAAUUGAAAUGAUCAUGAUUUACUUGUUUAUUUUUUUAACUUGUUGUAACAUUCUCAUAACCCUCUUCCGGUGACAGAUGCGAGUUAUGGAUGUUAAAUCGUCAAUGGUGAAAUUCAGGAUUUCACAUAAAAACGAUGUUUUAAAGUGUUUUUCAAUUAUUUUUAACAUGAUUAGAAGGUUUCAAACUUACUUUGAAGUUUCGUUAAAGAUUUCUUGAGUUUUAAUGAAUUGUCGAAAAAUAGCCAUAAAACAUGUCGAAAAAGUCGAUACCAUGAAUUGAGUAGUUUACCAUAGUUUAAGGGUUGGAAAUUAGUCGUAGAUGAAUAAUUAGAUGAAUGAAACUCGUUUUAGGCGAAAAGAUUAAGUGUAGACCGAGAUAUUUGCAUUUCAAGUUGGUUAUCUUAAAGAUUCCAAUUACAUUAGAACUUAGUUUAGGCUUAUGUUGUUUAUUGCUUGUGGUGAGUCCUUGGCUAAUUUGUGAAUUUAUUGUUGUGUGAAUCUGUUGUGUUGAAGUUCUGGAUUCAAUAGGACCUUCUACGAAAAGAGAUAAAGGCAAGGAAAAGCUAAUUUGAGUUUUCAGCUUUUCGGUGAAAGCAUAAUUGGUGAUUGUUUGAAAUAAUUGCUUAUGGACAUGAUUCAAUGUGUUAUUUCAGAAUUUAGUAGUAGCGUAAAACCCUACUCUAAAUUCUAAGUGUAAACUUUCUCAUACCUAUGUUAACUUGUGAACUAUGUGCUUAUGUGUUUGUGAAUAUGUGAAUUGAGAUGAGAUGCUAUUAUAAUAGCCCGUUUUCAGUGAAAUCGAAACAGUAGUAUUAGGACCACAAAUUCGAUGAGUAAAUUUUUAUUUUAUUAUUAUUUUAAUGUCUAUGGGAUGUUAGUAAGGUCGUAUUAAAAUUUCGUUAAGAAAUUUUGAUGUUUGCAUGGUUCAUUAAGUGAAAAGGACUAAAUCGUAAAAAGUACAAAAGUAGAGUUCUAUUAGUUAAAGGUAUUUAACGAUUAUGAAACUCUAAAUUCAAUGGACUUAAUUGGAAAUUAGACCAUUAAAAAUGUUAGUGGACUUUUAUGGACACAAUUUAAAUGAUUUUUAAGUUAAAAGCUAAGGUUAAAAUGGUAAAUUAAUUAAUUAGCCUAAAAUUAAAGUAAAGAACAGAUGAAUCAUCUUCUUUAAGUUUCUUCUUCAUCGAAAUUAGGCAUAGGAAACCCCAUUGUUGAAGCUUGAGGGUUCAGUUGAGCUUUUUUUUAUUGCACGGUUUGAAUUUUAACUCCGUUUUUAAUUAUUUCUAUGUUUUUGAAGUCAUUUUAGCUUAAUUUAGCUAGUCUAGGGAUCAAUUUGUAAAACUAUUAAAUAUUGAGAGUUAUGCCAUGAAUGCUUUUGUGUGAUUCUUGAUAUUUAAUGAUAGAUUAUGAGUCCUUGUUGAUAAAUAAACAAAUUUUGUAAAGUGACUUUUGAUGAAAAUUAUAUUUAGGGACUUGUUUGUAAAUUAGUAAAAUUUCAAGUUAAAUUUAUGAAAUGAUGGUUUGUAUGAGUUGAUAUAGGUCCCUAAUGAAAUUGGUUAGCUUGAAUAGGGAAUAAAAAUCUUUAGAUUUCAAUUUAUGAGCUUAAGGACUAAAUUGUGAAAAGUUAAAAUAUUAGGGGAAAAUAGUAAUUUUGCAAAAAUAUGAAAUGUGGACUAAAUUGAAUGCUAGGGAUAUUAAAUGGAUUAAAUUUUUCUAUUUAGAUCAAGAUAGACCAUGUACGAAUCUAGAUCGGGGAAAAGCUUAAGCCUCGGAUUAGUUGAUCUCGUUUAUACACCCUAGUCGUCGAGGUAAGUUUGUAUGUACAGAUUGCUACAUUCAUGUCAUUCAAUUGUAUGUUAUUAUGUAAUUACAAUGCUAUUAAUCAAUAUAUAUCCAAAGAAAUGCCAUGACUAUUAUCGAGUACCAGUUGAACCUUAGGAAUUCGUAGGAUACAAAUGACAUGUCAUUAGUGAUUUCAUGUUUUAGAUGUUGAUCUUGAAUGUCCUACUGAUGGCUGAGGUCCUGCAUUUUUUAUGGAUACUCCAUAGCUCGUGUGAGCAGCAUCAUGUAGCUUACAUUCUAACCCACAACUCGUGUGAGCAGGCUCAUUUCAUAGCUCAUGUGAGCAAUGAUGUAAAGGAAAGUUUACGUUUAUAUGUUUAAGCACACUUCGUGUGAGCUUUCCCAAGUAUCCAAUGAUAUUCUAGAUGGUUCAACGGGCAUGAAAAGGAAAGUAAAUGUUAAGUGUUCAAAUGAAAUAUAUCAUGUACUUAUGAAAAGGAUAUGGUGAUUGGUAUGAACAAAAAUGUAAGUUACUUGUUAUGAAUGAAAUCAUUUGAACCAUGUAUAAAUGCACUAACUUGUGUAUUUGUUGAUGUUGUAUAGGCAUUGUGCCAAGUUUGUGGUAUUAGUUGAUGCUUUAAUUAAUCUAUUUACAUUAUACAAAUGAAUGGUAAGUUAUGUUUCAUAUUCUACGAACUUACUAAGCAUUAUGUGCUUAAGUAGUUUCUUUCCUAUGUUUUAUAAAUAAUCGGAGCUCGAUCAGUUUGGAAGCUUAUUGGAGAUCUAUCACACUAUCUUGCAUAAAUAUUGGUAGUUUUUGAUGUUUUGGCCAAGGUUAUAAUUGCAUGUAUAGGUGGACUUAUAAUGAUGUUUAGUUGAAUGCUUAGAUGUUGAUUUGGUACGUAAAAUUUAUUUGGCUUAGUACAUUUGAUGCCUUACUAGUUUGUGUCAAUGUGUUAUCUUGUUGCAUGUUUGAAUGGCUCAAAUGGCAAGAUUUUGUGGUGGAAUGGUAAUGGUCAAAUUGUGGCAUGUUAGGUAAGUUUUAAAGCUAAUAGUUGAUGAAUUAAAAGUGGUAAAGUAUGCAUGUUUAAGUAAAUUUGGAUGUUUGCAAUUGAGGUGCCUUGAAUGACAUAUUGGUUAGUGGAUUUUAGGACUUCUGAAUUGGUCAUUAUAUGCAUGUUUUGGUAAGGUUUUGAUGUCUUGAUUAUGUGCACAAAAUGGAUAUAGGUGUAUGCAUGAUUUGGUGUUGAAAAUGGCUUGAUUUUGGGCAAAUUUAUGUCCACACAGACGUGUGACUCAACCAUGUGUGACACACGGCGUGACGACACGGCCCGUGGGGCUAUUUUAAGAGUUACACGGCCUGACACACGAGUCUAUGACAUAGCCGUGUGACCCUACUCAGAGAGUUACACGGGUAAGGAUAAGGGCUGGUACACGACAGUGUGUCCCUAGUCCGAAGGUUACAUGGCCUGAGACACGGGCGUAUGUCUCAGCCAUGUGAGGCAUACGGCCAGGUCACACAGCCAUGUGACCCAUGUAGUCAAAAUUUUCUAACUUUUUCUUAAACUUUUCAAAUGUUUCCAAUUUGGUCCUGAAUUCUUUCUAAGGUGUUUCUAGGGCCUCGAGGGCUCGAUUAAGGGACGAUAUGUAUGUGAAGGAAAGUAUUAUAAUAUGUUUUCAAUGAUGUAUGAAAUGUACGUUUUAAUGUUUUGUUUGUACGAUAAUGCUUCGUAACCCUAAUCUGGUGACGGAUGUGGGUUAGGGGUGAUAUGUGGUUAUGAUAACUGUUGUCAAAGUGCUAAUGUGUACAAGUUAUGUAUAUGUUAAAUGUUAGUGACAGUGAUUAACUAAAAAUACAAAUAUGCAGUGAUAGUGUACGGAUAAUCGAUAAGUGAUAUGUUAUUGAUUUCAGAUAUUUUGGCCUUGUGAUCUUGAAACCGUGGGAUAUAGUUGGCAUGCCAUAAGAUUGUGAGUACUCAACUAUAUGUACAGUGAUUUUAGGUGUUGAGGCCUUGGGACAUGUUGGAAGGAUAAAGGAAUGUGAGCUAAGCUCCAUUUAACGGGACAUGUGAGGGGAAAUAAGGAGAGUGUUAGAUUUAUGCUUCACUUUUGGGACAUGUUUGACUCUAUGAGUCUAUGUGGUGUGUUGUAGAUCAGUGUGUCCGAUGAGUGAUAAUAAAGCUCUCUUUUAUAUUUCAUAGCUCAAGUGCCAAAUUAUCUUAAAUUAUGAAUAUGUGUGUAUUGUGAUAUGUGUUUAUAUGACAUGUGACCAUUAUGCAAUUUAUCUAUAAACAUGUUUUGAUUAUUGUGAUAUAUGCUUAAAUGUUAUGUGAUUAUAUGUGUAAUGUGAUAUACGCUUAAAAGUGAAUACGAUUACCAUGUAAAUGAACUAGUAAAUAAUGCACGAGUAAGAAUAAUAUGACACUAAAGUUGAAACUGUUGAGGUUGUGCUAUAUGGUUGUUUCGUUAAUGCUUGAUGAAUAGUUUUCGUGUAGUUGUUCUAGGCAUUCACUGAUCUUGUUAAGCUCACCCAUUCAUUCUUAAACCAUUGUAGAUUAGUAGUGUGCCGGUGUGAGCGGUGCGAUUUCCAAAUGGGGAUUCAAGCAAGUCCAUUUCUGUGAUUUCAUAGGUGUUAUUGUCAUUUGUUUAUGUUUUGGGAAUAAGGCAAUGUGGUAGACUUGUUUAUGGUCAUGUUAACUUCUAGACAUUUUAUUGGUUUUUGGUUCAGUUUAUAAUGAUUACAUGUUAUCGUUAUGCUUGGGUUCAUGAACAUGAGGAUGGAUUGACAUUACUUGCUCGAAUAUGAUUUUGCGAUAUUGAACUGUUAAUUAGGCCGUUGAAUGAUUAUUUGUCGAAGUAAUUGAUGUAUGAUGUUUAAGAACUAAAUUGGAAUGGAUUAAUUGCUUAUGUAUGCUUCAUUUUUUAGGUCUGGGGUAGAGGUAUCGAUAAAUGGGUUUUAAAAUCGAUACCUCUGUGUUUUGAAACGUAUAGGGAGUCAGAAUAGAGAUUUGGUAUCGAUACCUUUGCAAGAGUAUCGAUACUCAGGGUUAAAAUAUCGAAAUUUCAUGGCAAGUACCGAUAAUUUUCGAGACUUUGGCUUUUAAUUGAGAAAUAGAAUGCAUGUUUGGUAUCGUUUUCCUAGGUGGUAUCGAUACCACUUAAAGAAAAUAUCAAUACCCUAGUGUCAGUACCGAUACCUACAUGAUUGUCUUGAAAAUUUUGCUAAGUGGUCCUAAUGCAUUUUUAAUCAUUAUAAGUUUAUUUAAAGUAUCAUUGGCAUGUUUUAAUGAUGGUUGAUAUAUGUCUGACUAAAAAUUUAUAAGAUCAUUGAUAAAGAGGAUGAUUUCUUAAUAAUGUGUCAAUUUACUAUAAGUAUGACAUGAGACGGUGGUGUGACAUCUUUAUAUUCGAACUUGGCAACUAGGCCGAGUAUAGGGUCUUACAAUUUUAUACAUCACAACUCAAUCUUAAAUAAUUUCAACUAUGAUCUCAAACAUAUCAAAAUAUUAAAAUGACUCCAUUAGGUACAUGCUCUAUUGCAUUCUAUCACAAUGCAUAUCCAAUUUACCCUAUAGCCAAAUCGCAUUAAUUGAAUCCUCUUAACCUAAUUUGGAUUCUUAGAAUGAAUAUUCAGUUUAGUCAACCUGCAUCUCAUCUAGCACCGCAAUGUACUAUCAACCAUCCCAAAAUAAACUUGUACAUUUAAUAGAGUAACCAACUUCUAACUUCAUCGCAUAAUUCAAACUAUAUCCCAUAAUUCUUAUUUCAACAUUAAUUCAUCAAUUUAUCAAGUGACAUAACAUACUUUAACCCAAAUUCUUUUAAUAGCUUACCUUAAUACUAUAUAAUGCAAUAUAUCAUGAAUAUUCAUUAACUAUAAUUAGUUUUGGGUUAUAGAAAUACAAACCGAAAGCUCGCGUCAUUCGUCGUCGACUCUCGUCUUCCCUUUCCCUUUUGGUGAUCCUGCGUUGUUUUUAGCUAGGAAUAAUAAUUUAGUAAUGGUAUAAUAUCAAAUUCUAUUCACAUCACAUUCAAUUUCAAGGUCAUAUAUAUUUUGCAAGUUAUUCAAUUUAAUCAUCUAUCGGAAUAAUCAAUUAAAUUUAUACUAUUACUAUUCGAUCAAUCAUAAUUGGAUUUCAACUAUUUAAAUAUCUCAAAUUGUAAUUCAUCAUAUUCAAUUUUUUAGUCAAUUUAUCAUUUAUUUACGAUUUAGUCCAUAUCACACCUUUUUGUACCAAAUUGUAAACAAUUCAAUUUACAACAACCCAAAAAUAAUUUCAUAAGCCUACCAUAUAAAAUUACUUGGUUAAAUCAGUAAACAAGUUAAAACUUUAAGGACUAUUCAACAAUUCUGUCUUUUUUCGAUUAUUUCCAAUUUGCUCCAAUUUUCGAUCUAUAUAAUUAUUUCAUCCAAUUUAUCAAUACCACACAUAUUAAUCAUCCUAUUAUAUGCAUGUAUCAGUUCAAAUUAAUUAUUUUAAUGCCCCUAAAAUUUUGUAUUUUAUUCAAUUUAGUCCCUAAAAUCAAAAUUACCAUAACUUUCAAAUUUGAUUUCGAAAUCAAUCUCAGUUACAUCCUUCUAAGACCUUAUAUUGUUCGUAAUUAAAAAAAUUUAAUACCAAUUUCAUUUACAUUUUAGUCCGUAUGUUCAAAACUAACUAUUUUCACUUUACAAACUAGUCUUUUUUUAUAUCUAAGCACCAAAUCUAACCAAAUAACAUCAAUUUUAUUAAGAAUUCAUCAACGAAAACAUUUAGAAACUUUAACACUUUCGAAAAUCAAUAUAAGAAUUAACUAAAUUAAGCUCUUGAGACCUCAAAAAUAUAAAAUACACAAUAAACAGAUUAAUUUCGCAUACCAUACACCAAGGCCGAAUGCUUGAAGUUAAGAACCCCAACUUUCUUUGUUGAAUGCUCUGUGAGGAAGAUGAAAGAAAAAUGAAUGGUUAUUCUCUCUUUCCUUCCACUUUCAUAUUUGUUCUUGUUAUUUUAUUUUUAUUUUACAUAUUUUAAGUUCCUUAGAUUUUAUUAUUAAUUUAGCUAAACAUGAACAUAAAACGUUCACCAUAGUUUUAAAUGGCAAAAUUGGUUUAAUUGCUACAUAAGUCUUUUAACAAUUAAAAACCUAUAGUUAUUAACUUCUUCCACUUUUAUAAUUCAGUCAUUGUACCUUAAUUAACUAAUCGUUUGACAAAAUUAAGGAACCAAAAUUUAGCUAAACUUAUGUUCACCUCAUAAAUAUUAAAUAAUAAUAUUUACGGACUCGGUCAUCGAAAAUAGGGUUCUGAAAUCAUUAUUUUCAACACCACUGACUUUCGGGUAGUUACACUUUAAUUAACUUUAAUUUAUUUAGUUAAUCUACUAUUAACAUUACCAGCCACUAAAACCCACCUUGACAUAUUCUAAUUGUUAUUUAAGUCCUUAAGCCAUUUUCUAAUUAAAAAUUCUAUAGCGAUUAAACUUUACAAUUUAGUCCCUGGACCUUAAUUAAUCACUAAUUCAGCUAAAUUACCUAUCCAAAAUUCAAUUCACUUAUAUAAUAAGACUGUAGUUCUCUUUAUUUAAUAUUUAUGAAAAUGGAGUUUUGAACUUGCGAUUUUCGGCACCAUUGAAAACCAAGUCGUUACAAAUUUAAUCAAAAUACCAAAAGAUAGAAAGUAUUUUUAAUGAAUGAUAUAUAAAGACACUAAGUUUUUAUAAGAAAAUGAGAGAUAUGAUUUGUAUCAUGAGAAAUGUUAAGGUAAAUAAAUGGAUAUGUUACUAAAAUAUGAUUUUAUAUGGCUAAAUUGAAUAAUAAUCAAAAGUAUAAUGACUAUAUGCUUUCAAUUGAAAGUUAAUACAAACAAUCAUGGAAAAGUAAAUAUUUUCACUAAAACGAUUUCUAGACAAUCACCAUAUUGAAAUUUCACCAAAAAAAAUUAGAAAGUGAAUUAAAUAUUGAACGAAGUAUGAAAUUAAAUCUUAAUGAAUUUAGUUAUUAUAGAAGAAACAAUGUAAGUAUUGGGAUUGUAUUGAAUGAGAUAUAUGCAUUCUAGUGAGACAAGGUCAGAUGAAUUUCAAGUUGCUCUAUUCUAACUUUGAAAAAUCAUUAAAAAUUAUAAAAAAAAAUAACUAAGAGAUAAAUAUUAUAUGUAUGAAAAAUCUCAAUGAGCCUAGAAACAAAUGACAACCUUAUAUGAAUUAUAUACUAAUAGAUAAAUUUAUUUUAGUAUAGGUCAAAGUUGCCUAGUAGCAGAACAUACGAGGUUUUUUUAAAAAAAUACUGCAUUAAUUGACUUGUGAGAAAAUUUUGAAAUUUUUAUGAUAAAAAGUUCAUUUAGUCUAAUUUCAAAAAUAACAAGCGGAUCUUAAUUUUGAAUUUUUUAAGCCAAGAUAUAAAUAUUUUAUUGAUUGUUACUCAAGUAGACAAGAGUAUAUGUGUAAUUAGUGAAUGAAUAAUUAAUAUUAUAUAUAGGCAUGCUAUACUAAAAGUCAAAGAUUCUCAUACAUAUACAUGUACAUAAAGGAUAUGGGAUGUAGAGGAAGAAAAUAAUAAAAGAGUUCUAAUGCUAAAAAAUUGUUAUAAGUGAUAGAAUUACUAAUAUGUAAGAGAAGUUCAAACGAAAUUGUUGGGGCAUUAAGUGAUUAAUUGUUUUUAAGUAUAAAGGGGCUAAAACGUGGGGGGGCUUAAAUGUUAUUUUACCCACCACGUUGGGGGUUUACAAAUUGCUCCCAUGAGCAGUUACCGGGGCGAGAAGAGAGAAUUAAAAAGAGGUGGAGAACGGUUUUAAGGGGAAGUUAAGAGGGAGUUGAGUAAGAGAAGAAGAAAAAGAGAACUCCCAAGACCAUCACCAUGGUCAUCAUCAGACCCAUCACACACUACCAUCUUUUUUAAACUUGAUUCUCACAGAUCAACCUUCAACCAUCUAUCAGUCACCAUAAAUCCAUGACCAUUGCCAUUCGUCAUUACAGUAUAAAGAGUACUCAAAGUCAACAAUUCAAAGGAUUUGAUAGAAGCACAACUAGUGGUUCUGGACCAAGCAAAUAAAAGGGCAGGGGAAUGUCGUUACUCGAUAGUGCGCCGUCAACUUCUAUUCUGAAACAUAGAAUGUUUCAAAACAAUGCUUUUGGCUCUUCAAUUAUCUUUUGGUUAUGGGUUUGUGAUUCUUUGAGGGCCUUUAAGAGUCCUUGACCUUAACGUGCCCCACAAGAGCAUUCUUCGCCUCUUGGAAGUUGUAAACAAUUUUUGUUCACCCAAAUACAACAACAACAAGCAAUUUGAUAGAUGACCCAAUAAUUAAACCAAUUCCAGAAAAAAAAAAUUGACAAGAGUGAUGCGAAGGAACUUAGAUAAUUUGAUAGAUGACCCAAUAAUUAAACCAAUUCCAGAAAAAAAAAUUGACAAGAGUGAUGCGAAGGAACUUAGAUAAUUUGAUAGAUGACCCACUAAUUAAACCAAUUCCAGAAAAAAAAAUUGACAAGAGUGAUGCGAAGGAACUUAGAUCUUACUUACUUCAACCUCCAUCAAGUUAUAUAAACGCCAUCAAAUGUAAAGCUUCCUAAGAAGCAUGAUUCUACUCCUAAGCCUAACUUCCACCAACAGCUUUGAACAACUCACUGAAGGAGCACCAAGUAUUUGCGUUGAAGAAAGCUUUUUUUUUU
This 14396-nucleotide long non-coding RNA is filed under the name Gossypium barbadense (sea-island cotton). RNAcentral describes it as "long non-coding RNA (GBAR_LNC014270)". The record is from RNAcentral. Lineage: Eukaryota; Viridiplantae; Streptophyta; Magnoliopsida; Malvales; Malvaceae.